CAGUAGCCGCGGUAAUACGUAGGUGGCAAGCGUUGUCCGGAAUUAUUGGGCGUAAAGGGCUCGCAGGCGGUUUCUUAAGUCUGAUGUGAAAGCCCCCGGCUCAACGGGGAGGGUCAUUGGAAACUGGGAAACUUGAGUGCAGAAGAGGAGAGUGGAAUUCCACGUGUAGCGGUGAAAUGCGUAGAGAUGUGGAGGAACACCAGUGGCGAAGGCGACUCUCUGGUCUGUAACUGACGCUGAGGAGCGAAAGCGUGGGGAGCGAACAGGAUUAGAUACCCCAGUAGUCCCUGUCUCUUAUACA
Molecule: ribosomal RNA, 301 nt
Filed under: uncultured bacterium
Lineage: Bacteria
Description: partial 16S ribosomal RNA
Rfam family: Bacterial small subunit ribosomal RNA
Source: RNAcentral